CCUACGGGGGGCUGCAGUCGAGAAUCUUCUGCAAUGGACGAAAGUCUGACAGAGCGACGCCGCGUGCGGGAUGAAGGCCUUCGGGUUGUAAACCGCUGUCAGUGGGAAGGAAGUACGUGGGGGUUCUCCCCCAUGUUUGACUGAACUUCAGAGGAAGGACGGGCUAAGUUCGUGCCAGCAGCCGCGGUAAUACGAACCGUCCAAACGUUAUUCGGAAUCACUGGGCUUAAAGAGUCCGUAGGCGGCCAAUUAGGUGAGGUGUGAAAUCCCCCGGCUCAACCGAGGAAUUGCGCUUCAAACCAAUUGGCUAGAGGAAGAUAGAGGAAAGCGGAACUGAUGGUGGAGCGGUGAAAUGCGUUGAUAUCAUCAGGAACACCGGUGGCGAAAGCGGCUUUCUGGGUCUUUUCUGACGCUGAGGGACGAAAGCUAGGGGAGCGAAC
This 440-nucleotide ribosomal RNA is filed under the name uncultured bacterium. RNAcentral's name for it is "bacterial SSU rRNA". It matches the Rfam family "Bacterial small subunit ribosomal RNA", at positions 338 to 773 of the family's 1533-position model. The record is from RNAcentral.